Molecule: long non-coding RNA, 278 nt
Filed under: Mytilus galloprovincialis (Mediterranean mussel)
Lineage: Eukaryota; Metazoa; Mollusca; Bivalvia; Mytilida; Mytilidae
Source: RNAcentral
UUAGGAGUUAUUGCCCUUUAUAGUCAUUUUUUUUUUUACAUUUUUCAUAAAUUUUUGUAGAUUUUUAGAAAAUAUUUUCCACUGUAAUUACCGGGCCAAGUUCAUUAUAGAUAGGGAUACUUGUAGCAACAAGAAUGUUCAGUAAAGUAAGAUCUACAAACACAUCACCAUCAUCAAAACACAAUUUUGUUAUGAAUUUAUCUGUGUCCAUUGUUUAAUAUGCACAUAGACCAAGGUGAGCGACACAGGCUCUUGAGAGCCUCUAGUUUGUACAUAAA